ACCGGGUCCGGACACACUGAGGAUUGACAGGCAAUAUUAAUACUUUGCUUCGGCAUUGUAUUAUGUUAAAUAUGCUAGUCCUUUCAUGAUUAUGUGAUAGGUGGUGCAUGGCCGUUCUUAGUUCGUGGAGUGAUCUGUCUGCUUAAUUGCGUUUCACUAAGGGCCUAUAAAUUUACGUAUGUUGUAUCGCACUUUGACCCCUUUCUUUAAUUAGAAAGCGCGUGUCUUAGUUUCGCUUUGCUCAUACAAUUAGGUCCUGAAAGCAACGAACGUGACCGCAACCUCUUGUUGCCUUUAUACCAAACAUGUUUAUUCAUUUUUUAAUGUUCAUUCAUGAAAAAAGGCUUUUUAAACUAGAGGGACCGCUGUUACUWUCUUAAACCAGAGGAAGGUUGCGGCAAUAACAGGUCUGUGAUGCCCUUAGAUGUUCCGGGCUGCACACGUGCUACAAUSAUUAUUGCAGUGAGCAUCUCAUUUUUACACACCGCAUGCGCGAGUCCAUUUAUUCACCUUCGGGUGUUUUAAAUGUGUACCUCUGCGCGCGGUAAAGCCUGCUUCGAAAGUAAGUGGGUAAUCAAUUAGAAGUAAUGAUUUCCUUUUUUAGCACACAUAUAUACGGCGUCUAUGCCCGGGUUACCUUGUUGUAGCUUUUGUGUGUAUAGAUGUUUUUUCCGUAUGUGCGAUUGUCAAUUCAUGGUGGGGACAGACCAUUGUUAAUUGUUGGUCUCGGUCUUAACUAGGAAUGCCUUGUACGGGUCUUUGGUUCAACAAACCACCCGGAAUACGUCCCUGCCCUUUGUACACACCGCCCGUCGCUCUUACCGAUGGACUUCUCUGUGAGUUUGAGGGACUGGGAACGCAGGAAUUUAUUUCUGCACACCUAUGGAAACUUAAACGAACAGUGUGGUCUAAAGGAAAGAGAAGUCGUAC
RNAcentral lists this ribosomal RNA (930 nucleotides) under Cibicidoides wuellerstorfi. RNAcentral's name for it is "SSU rRNA". It matches the Rfam family "Eukaryotic small subunit ribosomal RNA", at positions 1228 to 1814 of the family's 1831-position model. Lineage: Eukaryota; Foraminifera; Rotaliida; Anomalinidae. The record is from RNAcentral.